CUCUGUGUAAUGCACUUUCAUUUUUUAGCAGUAGAAAUAUAUAUAAAAAAAGUGUUAAAAUAAUUACCUACCUAUAAUAAAUAUUUUUUUAUGUAUCUUUAAUGAAGACACUAAAUCUUCUCAUUUUCCUGUAACUUUUUUCAUAAGGUAAUAAAUAAUAAAAAGGUAAAAUAAUCCAAUAUGAAACGCUAAAAGGAAACUCUUAACCGUCUUAGUGAUAUUUAAAAUAUGUUUUUAUUUCUCAUUGUUUACUCUAAAGUUGUUAGGAAAUAAAAAACAGUUCAAUCAAAUUUAAAAAAUAAUUUCUAAGGACAGUUUGUGACUUAUGCGCUGGACAGUUACUUUAGUAUCAUGUAUGACUGCUAAACAGUCCAUUUUUUUUAAUUUUAGGAAUUAAAAUUUGGCUUUGUAGGACCGCUGUAAGACCUCUCUCUACGUAUAAGGCUAAGCACUCACUGUCAGGAAGAAACACAGCUAGAUUUCCUUAGAAAUAAGGCCUGUUCCAAAUAAUUCAGGUCAGUAAUGGAGGAAAGUGCGUAGGAGAGAAGGUCUGAUCAAUGAUGGGAAGCCUAUGAGGACACAAGCCUAGUGAAACCCCAUAGAGGACCAUGCAACUAGAUGAUGAAAGAGAAACUUUUCUUGGAAGCAAUUGCUGGGGUAUACCAACUUCUGCAAGUGAGAACAUGGACUGGGCCCAUGAAGUAGAAUUAUGAAGUCCUUCAUGUGAAAUCACCACCAGCAGGACGACUAGGUAGAGCCAGGCCUUACUAAGCAGCAAGAGACAUGUUUGGUCUGUGGAACAAGAGAAUAAGUGUUCUUGAUCAUCUAAAUUCAGCAUGUUUUGAAAAGAUAGAUCUGUACAUCUCAAUUAUUAACCUAUCUCUAAAUUUAACCUCAGAAUUUACACAGUAUGAUUAUUUUCAUCAAUUGUGUUGCCACUCUGUCCUGAGAGUUAUGCUCUGGUGUUUCUUUGUCCAAAUCCUCUUGUUCACCCUGCCAGAUAAGCCAUGGUGCCUCACUUUGUCACCAGAUUGAAGUGCACCGCAAGAAAGCAGCCGUGCAUCUCACAACAGAGUUGGGCAUCUUCCCGUAUUGGGUGAAAUGACUUCAAAGGAGUAGUCAAUAUUUGAGGAAACAUCUCAAUAAAUGCCAGGUCUCAGCAAAAGCUCAAAGCAAUGUGUAAGUCCCACAAAGGUCAAUCAGAGGAUUCAUUUUUUUAGGCAUCCCUGUUUGCAAGAUUGGAGCCAUAGUUUAUGAUUCUCUAAAGAAACUUUUAGACGUACAAGGAACAUUAAGUCUUUAGGAAAGUCAGUGAAAAGGGCAGUGUCAUCUGAAUGUCCUGUUUGCAGCAUAUUGUCUUUCAGACCAAUCAAUGUCUCAGUGUUGAGCAGAGCUGUCCAGAAGCAGUAGGAGGUAACAACCGAACGGACAUAACACAAGCUUGGCUUUCAGUCAGAAUGAUGUUUUGUCAUAAAUGGUGAGAAUGCCAUUUUUACAAUUUAUGAAUCUGAUCGUUACAUUUUUGCUUCUCUAACCAACAUUAUGUAAUACAGAGAAUGUUUAUGUAUCCCAGCUAAUACAGAGGAAACAAAGCGUGUAUUUCUAGUGUGCCAAAAAGGGAUAGGCAAUUCCAUAGCUGCAGAUCCAAUUCUUUCUGAAUGUCAGUCUCUAUUCUAUCUCAAAUAUUUUUUAAUAUUUUACAGGAGCACUGAUACUAAUUUCCUCUCAAUUUAAAGGGUCCCGACUGUAUUCUUUCUUCCUUCAUAAAAAGUUUCAUGAACACAGUGAUGUCUCCAAGCAAAGGCAUGCAGUACACAAAAUCAAAAUUAAACAGGAUGACAUAUUUUAGGUCAUCUGCUGUAGUCAUCUGAUUGCUAGAGCACACUGGCUCUUUACUGUAGUGGUCCUCAGAACGGAUCUGAACAUCGCCAGUAGAGGCAACAUCACUUGUUCUGUUUGGGGAGCAACCUAGCGUGGGCCUCCACAUGGAAAGCUCCCGCACAGGGAUGUAACUGAGAUGGGAGUCUUUAGAUGACUAAAGGACAACAGUGGCAGCAGGACCAAAACUAAAGCCCAUUGUUGAGAAUGAGAUACAAUGUUUUUAAAAUAAAUUGGCACUUGCCACUGGGGAGUGUCACAAUCACUACUCUAUGUGCUCCUGUAGUGCAGGAGCUUUAAAGAGGGUUGAAGAAAAUACAUCAGUGGAAGCCUUUACUCUGAAAAGGCAGCAUCUUUGAGGAACUGCUUAAAUACGGAGUGGAAAACAGCUUUUCUUCUACUGAUUUUGUCCAGGAUCCAGUCCCUGAAGAAAUUCAACCAGUGCAUAACACAUGAAAAGGAGAGCGAGUGAGUGGGUGAAGUCAGGGUUAAAAUUGACAGCAUCCAACUGAUAUAAACCGAAGCUCUCAAAGAAUUUCUUGCAUCUGGAAAUCUCUCUCGUUGCACAGCUGAUGUAUUAAAUACAAAAGAAGAUGUAUGCAAAUGAAGGCAUUCGUAGUAAAAGAACUCCUGGAGACCUUGCUGCGGUGGGAGGCUUUGUCAUGUUAUGGUCUACAGUAAGAUGUUGCCUUCUUCAAGGAGAUUUCAGUCUGUGAAAAACCCAGCUACCACAAGUAUGUGGAAUGCAAGACGAGAGUCAGAAGCAACAAGGAGAAAAGCAGAAGACAGAAAAGCACACACCAAACUGUUACAGCUGACACAAUCAGAACAUGCGGCGCACACCCUGAAUUACACUUAACAGUCCAGAGCGAGAAGAAGAUGGGCCUGACACCACUUAUUAAUUCAUUAAAUACUGAAGGGGUGACUUCAGCUUCCAUGCUACAUUUUACACGCCUUCUAGCAAGCAGCUAUACCUAGGAGCAAAUAUGAAACACUUUCUUGUUUUCUACAGUUUGGUUUUUUUUAAUUAAAUUUUCUUGUGUAUCAAGUGCCUACAGACAUACAAUUCCAUUUUAUGCCAAGGGAUGUGAUAUAAUUCCUGUCCCUUUUUGGUUGCAAACAUCACCUUCAUACCAUACCUUCUAAUUAAAACAGUAAAGUGUUGGAUGAAGAUGAUUCAAAUUUGGCUAUGUAAAGGAUGAUCUCAUUCUUGCUGUUAUUGAUACUUGUGUCAGAGCUAUUUUAGUCACUAAGGAUUUGCUAGCAAAUUGUAUUGAAAGCCAUCAAACUUCUUCCUUGCUAGUAUUCACAGAAAUCUAUCCCUUUUAUCCCUUAUAUCAGCGCUGCCAAUUCUUAUUGGCUCUGUAAAAAUUAUUCAUGGAUCACAGAUUUCCUAGUGACUGCAGUUUCUGUCGUGAAGCAUUAAUGGCCAACACAACCUCUGGACUCUGUAGUAUGUCCGUCUACUUAUGAUCUUUAGCCUGCCCUAACCUUCGGCUCACUGCCACCUGGGUAAGCAUCCCCCUUCAAACAAGAGAAUAUGAGAAGGAGCUUAGGUGUGAGUAUCUUCAGUUUCUCUCCAAUGGGCCCACAGAAGCAGAGGCACUUGGAGCUUUGAGUGGAAUAGUUGAUCUUUUUUUCUCAUUUGUUCACCCUUUCCAAUCAACAGCAACAAGAGCCAUAGACAUUCUGCAUUCUGCCUUUAUGGGACUUCUUCUGUUGUUCCUCCUUUACCAGAUUUCUUCUGUUCUUUAGGGGUAUGUGAUUGUCAUUGUGGGGUACCUACAUACUACAGCUCAUCUCCCACAUCACCAGUACCAGUGUCAGAGACAGCUCAAAAGCUUCCAGCAAAGAUCCUGGUCCUUAUUCCCACUAGUUCAAUAGCUUGCUGACUUUCUGCUGUGUGGGGAGUCAUGUAAAUGCGUAAGCUUGUAACUCAUCAAAUGUGACUAAUAGUUUUAUGGUGCUUAAUAUUUGAGAUAAAUGUCAACUGAUGUGAACUGAAACGUAAGGAAGUAAUCAGGUAGCAGGUUUUAAGCAGACAGAAAACAAUUGCUUUAACACAGUGCUUGAUACUGUUGUGGAACUCAUAGCCAUCAGCUGUUGUGGCUGCAGAAAUGGAUAAAUGGGCUUUAAAAAGAUUGGAAAGAUUUCUGGAGGAUGAUUCCAUCCCUGGCUAUUAAAUAUGAUGAUCCAAAUGCAAUCUCUGCCACAGUGUUGUAGGAGAAGAAACACUCUUCAGAGAGAGACAUUCCCUGAGCAUUGACCUUGGCCCCCGUUAAUCAGAAGAUCUUGAGGGUAUGGCAUGUUCUUAUAUUUUCCCUAAAAAUUCUGCAUUUGGCUAAUAUGUUUUGUAUAGUGAUUAAUCUUCAUCACACAGGGGCUCAUCUAUAAGGACUUGUAUAGUUCUGGUGAGUUUACUACUUGCAACAAAUAGAAUAUUGCUGGACUCUGUGCAAUGAAAUAUAGAUAUAAUUCUAAUAAUCUGUGGUUUACUUAGUUUACAGUAGUGCCUAUUCUUCUCUGCCAUGGCCAACCAAUUGAAAAUGGAAACUCAUAAACAAGGGAAAUUUGUCUACAUUGUGCUUGCAAUGCCUCUGAAUCCACAGAAGGCAGGCUACAGAGAGAGAGAGAAAACACCAGUGUGCCGCUGCACCUCCUAGCAUAUAACCCACAACAGAUUUGGCUAUUCUUGUAGUCAUGAAACAAUCACUGAUUUAAAAAACCCUACUACUUUAUCCAAUGAUUGCAUAUCCUACCAUCCACACUGCAGCUGAGGUGAGAAUCGUGCAGUCACACAGUUUGGAAAGAGUCUCAAACCACAGCUCCUCUGUGCUGAAUUCACUCCUGUGCUGAGACUGAAUUCACUCCUGCUCAGCUGAGCAAGCUCAGAGCUCUGCUGAAACACAGAGGUUAAAUUCGCUGCUCCAAACAGUUCAGCCCAAGAGACUACCCUGAAGCUUUUUGCAGGGAAAGGAUUUAAUUAGGAUCUUAGUUUCAUAGUACAUUGCAAUAUUCAGUAUAACAGACGACCACCAAAAUGUAUUCUUUUUGUGAUUCAAGGUACAGGUUUGCUUAGACAACUUUUAAGAUGAUCCCUGACUACAGAAGGGGUAGAGGCACCAGAGACGCAGGAGAGACUUUGCUGAGCAGGUUUGAAUGUCAUAAAUGCACAGUUUUGGCUUAGUAAUUGUAUCACAGUUGACAGACGCUGCAGCAGUCACGUGUCUAGGACAUGACCUCAUAUUUCGGCUUUCUCCUCUCCUCCCCCAGUGAGGAGAGCAGUGCUGGCACUUAAAUAAGCAGAAGACAUUUACAGAAGGCGAGUUGGUAAGAUACUUAAAGGAGAAGCCUGAAUUUGGACACAGAGCUAUACUUUGUAUGGGCUAUUAAGCAGCUGCUCAACAGUGAUGGGGAAGCAAAAUUCUGUUUUUCCACUUGGGAAGUGCACUACCAUUAUUAUUAGGGUAAAAAUAUUGAAUCUCAAGUCACAUGGGCUUAGCUCCCUUCCCAAGGGAAAAUCUACAGGAGGGGUGGUAGAGGAAAGAAAUGCCUCUGUGAUCCAUUCACAGGAUUACUCUGCAGACAACAGGACUGCUGCAAGGUCAGAUGUCCUCCAGAGAUCCGUGGGAGGGUGCUGCAGAGGUCAUCUCUGCCCUGUAACUGCCCCAGAAGCCACUCCAGAUGCUCUGGCAGCAUGGUUUCACAGAAGGAUGGAACAGCAUGGAAUAGUAUUUAAUUUUGUGGAAAUUUUCCUGGGGCACUGAGUGUCCUUCUAAGUGUGUCUACUUCUUUUUGCAUAGAUCUUGGAUCAUGCAAGACCCGGGAAGAUUCUGAGAGGAAGACAUGGGAUAAUGCUCUGGAUAGCCAAGCACCACUUCAGCAUGAAGGGGAACCCCAGCUUGGAAAUUUCCAAAGGUGUAAUUGGCACUGGGGGGAUAAUUUUCAAUCACAGCACUGUAACACAGGGACCAAAAUCCCAGCAUUGGCACUGACCUCCAUGGCAAGUUAUGCCAUGCUUGAAACGACAACAGCAAUUACAUGCUGAGUUAUCCCAAUGGAAAGUGUUCUAAACGUGCAGACAUUUUUAGUGUUUUCUCACUACUUCAUCUACAAUUUGCAGCUAUUCAUAGAUUACAGACCAUAAACUUUUCAAUUCAGCUUCAGUGUUGUUCAAAGGAUAAAAAUUAAGAAUUUUCUGUACAAUUACUCAUCUUGAAACCUUAUUUUCUUUUGCUUGAUGUUGCUUAUGUUCUCUUUGGAUUGAAACCUGGCUCAGUUGUUUUAACCUGUCAGUUGCAGUGGCAAUGCUUUGGCCAGGUAAGAUCCCAGUUAGCCUUGUUAAGGUUCACAAUGUAUCAGAACAGGAUUUGGAUUUCUCUGCUUUUGAUACAUGGGGUUUCAGUCACAUUUGGGUUGCAGCUCCGGGAAAGUCUUUGCGUAAAAAACUUUGACCAGGUACAGCAACCAUUGUUUUGAUUAUCCCAGCUGAAGCGUGAGCAUUCCUGCAAGAGCCAGCAGCUCGGAGUGCUGCUGCUUGUGCCCUGCUUUGUGGCUCACCUGUUACGUGACUUUGCUGAAGAUCUUCUUGUGAUUUCUUAAAUGAAAAAAAAACCAGCACUAAACUUGGGGGAAAGAAGAUUUGUGUGUGUGUGAAUUAUUGCUUGACCAUAGGCAAGAGUCUUCUAGUCCUUUGGUGGAUGCUGGGGUGGUUGAGCCUCCAUGGCACCUGAAACCACCUCCAGGGGGUCAGGCUCUGCAGAGUUGCAGGAGAUCACCAGAGUAUUUUGGUGGGUUGUGUGUUUUGGUUUUUUUUUGCUUGGUCCUUUUCCCCCUCCUAAGCUUCCAGAGCAGAAAACCAGCUCAUUUCUUGCCAUUUUCUGUGUUGAGUACAUGACUGACAGGUGCUGCUGGAGAGGCACCGUGCGCAAGGGUGGGUGAGAGGCUGCGUCUGGCGUUGAGUUUUUCCUAGAGACCUGGAAAACAGCUGCAGUCACUAACGUGUGCCCCGAGCCCAGGGAGCUGCCCCUGCCCUGGGGCUCUGCCUGUCUUAGCUCAGCUCUGCCAAAAGCCCAGGCUUUCACAUCCGAGGCUCUGGGGUACUUUCAGCCAACACUUUCCGUCAGGAGGCCUUUCAGAGGCAAGGUGGGAAGCCUGCCCAUAGGCAAAUGAGCACGCUCAGCAAUAUCGCAGGGGUUAGCCCAGCUCUCACUGCCUGCCAUGCAUCUCUGCUGUGGUAGCGAUGCUCGGAGCUGCGUGCCCGCCACGGUGCUGCCUUAUGAUCCCUGAGCGCUGGUACCAGGAGACAGGCGGCAGGGACAUGGCUGCCAGCACCCAGAGAGGGGGGUGGCUGAUGGAGCCAUUGCUAUUCUUGUUAUGGAGCCAAAUAAAAGCAUUCCAAAGUGUUGUAGCGCUGCCUGCUUCUCGGUGCAGCAAGCAAGGGGCCAGCUGCUUCAGCAGCGAUGCCUCCUUGUGCUGGAGAGAUGCCACCUUGGUGAGGGGAUUUUGGGGUGUUUCCACAAGCCCCAGCUCCUUCGCAGUGUAUCAGAAGGAACCUUCACAGUGGAGUCCACAUCAACAGCAAAAGACUGCUUCUCACAUGGCAACACACCAGUUGCUGAACAGGUAAAAUACCAUGGAGAUAGACCUGCAUUAUUUCAGUUCAGGGUGAGCCUACACUUAACUCCUUCUAAAUGCACACAGCUGAAAAUAUAGAUCCCAACAUUUCACCAGGAUUUAAAAUCCACAGGUGCCUUUUUUUUACCCAGAGCCUGGGCUACCAUGAUAUGUUUUCUGGUGAAUUGUAAGUGAGUAUUUGGAAAAAAUAAUCUGCUAACCAGUGUCAUUAUUCCCGAAAUGAUAGUGGCGGUUGGUGAUGUGACCCUGAGGCUGGUGGAGAAAGCUGAUUUAUCCCGUUUUGAACGAGCCUUGACCUCUGCUGGGCUAGACAGCAAGCCCAGAGCUGCUCAGGUAACACUGGAGAGAAAGCUCCUGCACCUUCUGACAGCUGACAGAGCCCUUGGAGCUGGAAUUGUACUGAGACUGACCUGAAGUAGUGCGGAGAGCAAAGUACAAUCAGUCACGGUUUCAGAUAUUGACCUGUUUGUCACAGCAUCAUCCCUUGGGGAGUCUCACUUUAUCCUCCUCCUUGCUAAAGCUUUCUGAAAGGUGUUAUUUAGGUCUUUUUGCAAUCUGCUGUCCUGUAUCAUUGAAUGAAAAGUUUUCAGAGACAGUCUGCAUUCACAGUGUGAUGAACAUUGAUCUUUUGAUCAACCUAGAACAUCUAGGUUUCUACAGGUUUAUGCCAUACAUUUAGGGGCCUGUAAGCAUUUGAAAAUAUAAAAUGUAAACAUCCAGCUCCUGGUGUUUAAUUCAUUUUUUAAAGUUUUCUUAGUAGUGGUAAACUGAGUACUUAUCCAAUUAUUGUUAUUUAGUAAAAUGCUGUUAGGAUGAAAGCAUCAAACAAUCUGUCACAUACUCUGUUGUAUUCACUUGACACUUCUAACUGCUUAAAAGUAAUUAAAAAUCACUUUUAUGAGGUAAGGAAGUACAAGGUCUUAGCUGCACUUAAGCCAUGAUCACUCAGGAGUGAAGAAAGGUUAUUUUUACAAGUUUCCAGUAAGUCAACACAGCUUGAGCGUAGGUCAUCCACGUUUUUUUAACACUUGCACACCAGAACUCCCUAACCAGUCUAAGUGAGAAACUAAAUUUAUUGAUGAAGGGCCUCAGGAUAUGCCCCUUUACAAAUGUUGUGUGUGUCACUGCAACCAAAAUUUUAUUCUGGGAGUAGAUUAAAUGACAGUAUCAUUGACAAUUUGUCUGAGGCUUCACAAUUUAAUCUUUUGACUUGAAUCAGGAGUUAAAUUAAGUUUCUAAAGUCUGCUUUUCUGCUCACAAUCUGCCUAAUCAAAGCAGGAGAUCCUCCUGAACAUUUCAAUGCCCAAGCUGCUGGUAGGAGUCCCUGAUAGAUUUCUCUUUUAAAUUUAGCACAGCCCAGAAUAGUAACUCUUACAUAACAUAUACCCAGCAAAUAUGGGAUUUGCUAUAAUUUCAGUGAGAGACUGCAGAUUUCCUGCCUUACAGAAUAACUAAAGCAGACAGCAUUAAAGUCAUCCCUCUUAUAAAGGGCUUGAACAAAUAAGCUUAUUCCUACAAAUCAAGGGAUAAUGUUUCUCUUAGGUAUCAGAAUAUAGUUGACAACAAAAUGGGCUGUGACAAAUCCUAGCUCUUCUUGUGUCUCUGAGUGACAUUGUGGCCCCUGUUUACCUCAAAACAUACAGAUGUGCUGCACUCGCUGUUCCUGAGGAUAAAGAGAGACAGCAAGGCAAAAAUUUGCACUCCAUUGUGGACAGGCCAUUGGGGCUUCUUGGGAAGGGGAGUUCUUAAAUAAAUACGUUCUUUGCUUAUUCACUGCUAUCUAUCUAUCUAUCUAUCUAUCUAUCUA
Cuculus canorus (common cuckoo) is the source of this 9322-nucleotide long non-coding RNA. RefSeq lists it as uncharacterized. NCBI's taxonomy places the organism in Eukaryota, Metazoa, Chordata, Aves, Cuculiformes, Cuculidae. The transcript has 4 exons. The record is from RefSeq and is a predicted model, not a curated record.